Molecule: long non-coding RNA, 408 nt
Organism: Chrysemys picta bellii (western painted turtle)
Lineage: Eukaryota; Metazoa; Chordata; Testudines; Emydidae
Source: RefSeq, a predicted model, not a curated record
UGUGCGCACUCGCUGCGCCAAGAGCAGCCAGCGGCCGUUCUCCGCCUCCCUGCACCCGCACCGUGGGGAGAAUUGCAAAGUUGCAAGGAGUCAACUGGUCAAUUCAAAGUAAAGGCAGGAUGGGCAGGUACUCACACUAAUAACGGCUGUGGGAUCAGACCUUAAGGCAAGAACAUGCUGAUGAACAACAAUGCUCUCAUCUUAAGACAGCCAGGGCCUGAGGUAAACCUCUUAAAAUCAUCAGCAAAGUGAACUGCAACCACAUGGAAAACACAACAGGUAACGUUACAUUUUGUAAGCACAAUAAAACUCAGCCAACAUGUACAGAAUGUAUUUCAUGUGGAGAAGCAUUUUGACUCCAGCAUUCUUAAUCCUACACCUUGUUUUGUUUCAGAUACAGUGUUAGGC